This 635-nucleotide ribosomal RNA is filed under the name uncultured Phyllachora. RNAcentral describes it as "SSU rRNA". It matches the Rfam family "Eukaryotic small subunit ribosomal RNA", at positions 18 to 657 of the family's 1831-position model. The record is from RNAcentral. Lineage: Eukaryota; Fungi; Ascomycota; Sordariomycetes; Phyllachorales; Phyllachoraceae.
UUGUAGUCAUAUUGCUGUCUCAAAGAUUAAGCCAUGCAUGUCUAAGUAUAAGCAAUUAUACCGUGAAACUGCGAAUGGCUCAUUAAAUCAGUUAUCGUUUAUUUGAUAGUACCUUACUACUUGGAUAACCGUGGUAAUUCUAGAGCUAAUACAUGCUGAAAACCCCAACUUCGGGAGGGGUGUAUAUAUUAGAUAAAAAACCAACGCCCUUCGGGGCUUCUUGGUGAUUCAUGAUAUCUUUACGGAUCGCAUGGCCUUGCGCCGGCGACGGUUCAUUCAAAUUUCUGCCCUAUCAACUUUCGAUGGUAAGGUAUUGGCUUACCAUGGUUUCAACGGGUAACGGGGAAUUAGGGUUCGAUUCCGGAGAGGGAGCCUGAGAAACGGCUACCACAUCCAAGGAAGGCAGCAGGCGCGCAAAUUACCCAAUCCCGACACGGGGAGGUAGUGACAAUAAAUACUGAUACAGGGCUCUUUUGGGUCUUGUAAUUGGAAUGAGUACAAUUUAAACCUCUUAACGAGGAACAAUUGGAGGGCAAGUCUGGUGCCAGCAGCCGCGGUAAUUCCAGCUCCAAUAGCGUAUAUUAAAGUUGUUGCAGUUAAAAAGCUCGUAUUUGAACCUUGGGUCUGGCUGGCAG